ACCAGGCAUGAUCACUCAUGCCUAUAAUCCCAGCUACUUGGGAGGCUGAGGCAGGAGGACCACAAGUUCAAGGCCAGUCUGGGCAAUUUCUUAGAGAUACCCUGCCUCAU
This 110-nucleotide small RNA is filed under the name Marmota monax (woodchuck). The record is from RNAcentral. Lineage: Eukaryota; Metazoa; Chordata; Mammalia; Rodentia; Sciuridae.